AGUGAACGCUGGCGGUAGGCCUAACACAUGCAAGUCGAACGGCAGCACAGUAAGAGCUUGCUCUUACGGGUGGCGAGUGGCAGACGGGUGCGGAAUACAUCGGAAUCUCCUUUUUCGUGGGGGAUAACGUCGGGAAACUCACGCUAAUACCGCAUACGACCUACGGGUGAAAGCAGGGGCUCUUCGGACCUUGCGCGAUUGAAUGAGCCGAUGUCGGAUUAGUUAGUUGGCGGGGUAAAGGCCCACUAAGGCGACGCUCCGUAGCUGGUCUGAGAGGAUGAUCAGAGACACUGGGACAGGAAGACGGGCCAGACUCCGACGGAGAGCAGGAGUGGGCAAUAAUGGGCAAUAGGCGUAAGCCUGAUCCAGCCAUACCGCGUGGGUGGAGAAGGCCAUCGGGUUUUAAAGUCAUUUUGUUAGGAAAGAAAAGCAGCAUGUUAAUACCCCGCAAUUCUGACGGUACCCGAAGAAUAAGCACCGGCUAACUUCGUG
RNAcentral lists this ribosomal RNA (492 nucleotides) under uncultured bacterium. Its description in RNAcentral is "partial 16S ribosomal RNA". It matches the Rfam family "Bacterial small subunit ribosomal RNA", at positions 29 to 507 of the family's 1533-position model. The record is from RNAcentral.